UGCGCAGGCGGUGAUGUAAGACCGAUGUGAAAUCCCCGGGCUUAACCUGGGAACUGCAUUGGUGACUGCAUCGCUUGAGUAUGGCAGAGGGGGGUAGAAUUCCACGUGUAGCAGUGAAAUGCGUAGAGAUGUGGAGGAAUAUCGAUGGCGAAGGCAGCCCCCUGGGUCAAUACUGACGCUCAUGCACGAAAGCGUGGGGAGCAAACAGGAUUAGAUACCCUGGUAGUCCACGCCCUAAACGAUGUCAACUGGUUGUCGGGCCUUUACAGGCUUGGUAACGAAGCUAACGCGUGAAGUUGACCGCCUGGGGAGUACGGUCGCAAGAUUAAA
RNAcentral lists this ribosomal RNA (330 nucleotides) under uncultured bacterium. RNAcentral's name for it is "bacterial SSU rRNA". It matches the Rfam family "Bacterial small subunit ribosomal RNA", at positions 568 to 898 of the family's 1533-position model. The record is from RNAcentral.